This 555-nucleotide ribosomal RNA is filed under the name Herbaspirillum huttiense subsp. huttiense. RNAcentral's name for it is "bacterial SSU rRNA". It matches the Rfam family "Bacterial small subunit ribosomal RNA", at positions 59 to 608 of the family's 1533-position model. Lineage: Bacteria; Pseudomonadati; Pseudomonadota; Betaproteobacteria; Burkholderiales; Oxalobacteraceae. The record is from RNAcentral.
CAGUCGACGGCAGCAUAGGAGCUUGCUCCUGAUGGCGAGUGGCGAACGGGUGAGUAAUAUAUCGGAACGUGCCCUAGAGUGGGGGAUAACUAGUCGAAAGACUAGCUAAUACCGCAUACGAUCUACGGAUGAAAGUGGGGGAUCGCAAGACCUCAUGCUCCUGGAGCGGCCGAUAUCUGAUUAGCUAGUUGGUGGGGUAAAAGCCUACCAAGGCAACGAUCAGUAGCUGGUCUGAGAGGACGACCAGCCACACUGGGACUGAGACACGGCCCAGACUCCUACGGGAGGCAGCAGUGGGGAAUUUUGGACAAUGGGGGCAACCCUGAUCCAGCAAUGCCGCGUGAGUGAAGAAGGCCUUCGGGUUGUAAAGCUCUUUUGUCAGGGAAGAAACGGUAGUAGCGAAUAACUAUUACUAAUGACGGUACCUGAAGAAUAAGCACCGGCUAACUACGUGCCAGCAGCCGCGGUAAUACGUAGGGUGCAAGCGUUAAUCGGAAUUACUGGGCGUAAAGCGUGCGCAGGCGGUUGUGUAAGUCAGAUGUGAAAUCCCCGGGC